This 1418-nucleotide long non-coding RNA is filed under the name Cyanistes caeruleus (blue tit). RNAcentral describes it as "lncRNA (ENSCCEG00000001890.1)". Lineage: Eukaryota; Metazoa; Chordata; Aves; Passeriformes; Paridae. The record is from RNAcentral.
UGGAUUCUGUAGGCAAAUACAGCAGUAUUUAUAUAAUGGAGUAAUACAACAGGUGCUAACGGAAAUCUUCUGCGACUUUUGUCAGUGGAGAAAGGGCAUGGUGAAAGCUAGCACAGGAAUUAAAAUUUUUGUCAGGGAGGCUAGAAUAAGUUUCUUUGCUUGAUGAAAAAAACACACUCAAACAAUUCUAAAGAUGAGGGGGGGUAAAGAUGUCUGUAAGUAUUUGUUUCAAUUUGCAUAAAGUGUUACUGUUUUCCAAACCUUCCUAAAGUGGCAUAUAUGUGCUUAUGUCAAUUCUUUAUUAAAGAUUAACAUUUCUCUCCAGGUGCCGUGUGUUUCAAAUAAGCAUUUAAAACAAGAAGCAAUCACUUAUAAGUACUUCACAUAGAUACCUUUGUGUGAGGUGUUUCCAAUGAAAGUAGAUUCUCUCCUGAUAUGUUUUUUAUUCUUCAUUAUAAUUCCAGCACACUGGGGAGCACCUAGACAACGAACGUACGUGGUGUCUGAAUCCGACACAACCUCUGGUGUGACACCCUACAGAACCUACACUGUGUCUGGAACGGACACAACCUCUGAUUCUUUUAAGCUUCCAUUCUUACCCCAUGGAACCAGUACACCUCGUGGUCCUGCUCCAGCUGCACACUGGGGAGCACCUAGACAACGAACGUACGUGGUGUCUGAAUCCGACACAACCUCUAGUGUGACACCCUACAGAAUUUAUAGCAUCUCUGAAACCAACAUACCCCACUGUGUGGUACCUAGCAGAAUCUACAGUUUGUCUGAAACCAACAUACCCUCCAGUGUGACACCAGGCAGUACAGGUGUUGGGUCAUCAAUGGACAUAUCCUCCCAUGUGAUACCCGGCAGACCUUACCGUGUGUCUUCAGCCAACACAUCCAAUGUGACACCCAGCAGAAGAGGCAUUGGGUCAUCACUGGAUACAUUCAUCAACCUAAUACCAACCACAACCGAUACUGGGUCAUCAAUGGAUGCAUCCUCACGCAUGACACAAAAUAGAACUUUUACCGUGUCUUCAGUCAACAUGCCCUCCAGUUUUACAGAGAACAGAACUGGUACUGGGUCUUCAGUCAACACAUCCUUCCAUUUCUGACCACACAGAACCAGUUCUUUGCCUUCAGUCAGAUCUUCCAGCCAGGAUGUCUCAUCCAGCACCAGGAGAAAUCAGGGAAUUUAAUUAUUGGAGUCCUGGUCAUGUCCGUUUUCAUAACCAAUAUCAUACCUUCUCUUCAAAUGGGAAAAACUCCAACAAUGUAGAAAGAGCUAAUUAAAGUACAGUUGUACCUACCUUUUGUUGUAGUUUAUUGUACGUGAUUUUUUUGUCCAUAAUUUCACAUUUUUAGAAAAUGUGCAUUCAUAUCUUCACAUUUCUGUGUUUCUAAUUUGUAUUAUACCAAAAC